Molecule: ribosomal RNA, 253 nt
Filed under: uncultured bacterium
Lineage: Bacteria
Description: partial 16S ribosomal RNA
Rfam family: Bacterial small subunit ribosomal RNA
Source: RNAcentral
UACGUAGGCAGCAAGCGUUGUUCGGAGUUACUGGGCGUAAAGCGCGUGUAGGCGGUUGUCUAAGUCUGCUGUGAAAUCUCCCGGCUCAACUGGGAGGGGGCGGCGGAGACUGGGCGACUGGAGGGACCUAGAGGCCGGUGGAAUUCCCGGUGUAGUGGUGAAAUGCGUAGAGAUCGGGAGGAACACCUGUGGCGAAGGCGGCCGGCUGGGGGUACCCUGACGCUGAGGCGCGACAGCGUGGGGAGCGAACCGG